This is a long non-coding RNA of Hippocampus zosterae (dwarf seahorse), 618 nucleotides long. RefSeq lists it as uncharacterized. The record is from RefSeq and is a predicted model, not a curated record. NCBI's taxonomy places the organism in Eukaryota, Metazoa, Chordata, Actinopteri, Syngnathiformes, Syngnathidae. The transcript has 3 exons.
CGGGUUGAUGAACGGGUCGGGCCCGAAAGGCGAUGGGCAAGUUGACACACGGCGGCAGCGGCAGCGGCAGCUCUCAUGCGACGCCACUUGUCAAGAAGGAUUCCGCUCUUGCUUUUGCUCCCCCUUCUUGUAUGCCCCAGUAGCAGGUGGGAGGAGCUGGCUACGUGACGUAAGCGGAACAAGACGCAUGCAUCGUUUUGGAAUGCUGGAGGUCGUCGGAAACAUCCACAAUUCAAAUACAAAGCACAAGAAAUCUGCACCAUACUGCUUGGAUGGGGGGCGGGCUGGCCGGAAGAGUCACGGGGAGAAGAGAUUGAAGCUCGGAAGGACGGGGUGGGGGGGGGGGGGGGGUAGGCGGCGAAAGGGCCAAAUGAGAAAAGGCAAGGCAGCCGGAAAGAGCGGAGCGAGAAGAGUGAAGCUCUUCGGCGGCGGUAAUUUGAUUUCACGCGGCUCACCGUGUUCCGCCGUUGGGCGGAAAGGUCAUCAUGGCGGCCGUCUACCAAGCGUUAUUACACCGCCCGAGAGCAAAGUGAUGUGUUCGGGCUGGAUGAUCGCAUCUCCACGGCACUUGGCCACAGUCAAUUUCCACCUCUGUUAUUCAUUUGUCAUUUGGAGGGG